GCGUAAUUCAUUCCGAGCUCUAUUUUGCAUCGAGGUAAGGUUGUUGUCUCCUUUCUCAAGUGUAUAAUUUCAUUUGUCAGUGAAAAUACAGCAUCUUUCCAUCUAGUGAUCUAAAUUGUAUCUGGUUUUGAACUGAAAGUUAACUGUUUUGAACAGAGUAUCUAAAUAUCUGCAAAAAAUGCUGUAGUUGCACAGCGUUUUGCUGGUGGUGAACAUUGACUGAGACAGGUGUCCAUGAAUCUCGGAAGAAGUGGUCAUUGACUGCAUUUUGUAUCUAAGCAAUGGAAAAGAAUCCCAUUUUGUUCACAUUAUCUACUGAUAUGCUGGAUGUGUUAAGUGUUUUGAGAAAGUGUACAUGGUAUUGAACCAAAAGACUUGUAUAAUUUGACUUGUAAUACAAGACUUGUAACUUGUAACAAGUGUGAAAAUGAUUGGAAAAAACUGUAAUGGUCUCACUUUCUGAAGCUUGUCACCAGAGUCUGCUAUCCCUGGGUUUGAACAGGGUAGGUAUCUGCAUAACUCCUCAUACCUAUUUCGUGGCAUGGUGUCUGCCACAUAGGACACUUGUAAGGCUGGAUCAUAUGAACAGCAGUCAAGAUAAGAGGGUAAAUGAUGGAUACCCAUGAGGAUGUUUAUUCCCACAAACACCUUCACCUCCUCCACAAAUGUAUUGCACCAGGAUGCAUUUGAAGAGGCAUAGAGGUUGGUGUUUUCCACCAAAUUAGCAAAAAUGUUGGUUAUCUAUAUGGUUUAGCAGUGUUAAUAUUUAGUUUAAUAUUUAUUUAUUUACUAAAUAUAUAACAAAUACUAAUUAAAUACAUUAAGAAGAUAUUAAAUGUAAUACAUACGUCUGCAGUACUGUUACAAACUUAAGUCCAAAACGGACCUGGUUAUGAAUUUUAACUUUAGGGUGUAUGUAAAGCUAUGUAUUUUAAUAUUUGUAGAUGUCACUAAUACAUAUUUUAUAUCAUAUUAACAAACAAUUUAUGCCCUUUUAAACAAAACAAACUUGUAAUUAUCAUUUUUCUUUUGUUUUCUAACUGUAACUGUUUGUUUACAGGAUAACACAAAAUAAAGGAAGUCUCUGGUUUUCGCAGUAAUUUGCUGCAGUCUACUAUAAUUCUAUUGGGGUAUAGAGGGUUAACUUAAUAUUAUGCCCUCAAGUGUUCAGAUUGCAUUUGCUGAUGUACAUUUGCGGUUUCUCUUAAUUUGCAGUAGAAUAAUUAGUAGAACACAGCACUUUGUCAUAGAUAGUUCCAUGUUAUGUGAUAGAUAGCCUGAGUUGCCUACACACUGUAUAGUGUAAAUAUUGGUACUAAGCAACAUGUGGAUUCAUUGGUUUCAUAUGGCAUUUAUGUCCACCAACAGUUAUUCUAUAAUGCUGUAUUAAUGCCAGAUGUGUGUUCUCCAUGUACAGUGAUGGGGACAAAUCCUAACAUUUUGGUAUUGGGUGCUGGGUUUGCUGGAAUAGGCGCAGCUACCAAACUGGAAAGUCUGGGAUUCAAAGAUGUAACAAUAAUUGAGGCAUCUGGACUGGAUUGAGGGAAAAUGGCCAAAUAAUGUCUUGGUGUGUGUGGAAACAAUUCUGUUUUCUUGACCUAAUAUGAAGGGAGUUCAUUUAUAAUACAUUUUGAAUCAGUAGUGAUAUUUCCUUGACACAACAGCAAACUAAUUCAAGUUUCACUUCUGUACCUAAAUUACUUGUCAGCCAUUUUUUUCCAUAUAUUGUCUAUUCUAUUCUAUACUAUUUUUAUUCUGUUCUGUUCCUAUCUACUCUAUUAUAUUCUAUUGUAUUCUACACAGGCAAGUCCUGGGUAGAUACAUGAGCCCAGUUUAUCCACGGAGCCUCAGAGGUGAAUCCAGUGUACCAUCUGCUGAGGCGGGGCAGGGCGGGGGGGUGGGGGUUUGUGAACCAGCACUCUUGACUCUUGGUAGUACUACACCAACAUGGGAGAGGACCUCAACAUUGAGUUGAAUCAUUUUACAUCCUGUGUUGCGUCAACAAAGUAAUAACACUUUUACAGACCC
Clupea harengus (Atlantic herring) is the source of this 2028-nucleotide long non-coding RNA. NCBI's taxonomy places the organism in Eukaryota, Metazoa, Chordata, Actinopteri, Clupeiformes, Clupeidae. The record is from Ensembl.